UACGUAGGGUGCGAGCGUUAAUCGGAAUUACUGGGCGUAAAGCGUGCGCAGGCGGUUCUGAAAGUCAGCUGUGAAAGCCCCGGGCUUAACCUGGGAAUGGCGGUUGAAACUACAGGACUAGAAUCUGGCAGAGGGGGGUGGAAUUCCACGUGUAGCGGUGAAAUGCGUAGAGAUGUGGAGGAACACCAAUGGCGAAGGCAGCCUUCUGGGCCAACACUGACGCUCAUGCACGAAAGCGUGGGGAGCAAACAGG
This 253-nucleotide ribosomal RNA is filed under the name uncultured bacterium. RNAcentral's name for it is "partial 16S ribosomal RNA". It matches the Rfam family "Bacterial small subunit ribosomal RNA", at positions 524 to 776 of the family's 1533-position model. The record is from RNAcentral.